This 499-nucleotide ribosomal RNA is filed under the name uncultured bacterium. RNAcentral's name for it is "partial 16S ribosomal RNA". It matches the Rfam family "Bacterial small subunit ribosomal RNA", at positions 899 to 1397 of the family's 1533-position model. The record is from RNAcentral.
ACUCAAAGGAAUUGACGGGGGCCCGCACAAGCGGUGGAGGAUGUGGUUUAAUUCGACGCAACGCGAAGAACCUUACCUGGGCUUGAACCGCUAGCUAAACCCUUGGAAACAAGGGCUGGGUCAAACCGAGCUAGUAGAGGUGCUGCAUGGCUGUCGUCAGCUCGUGUCGUGAGAUGUUGGGUUAAGUCCCGCAACGAGCGCAACCCUUGUCGUUAGUUACCAGCGAGUCAUGUCGGGGACUCUAACGAGACUGCCGGUGGUAAACCGGAGGAAGGUGGGGAUGACGUCAAGUCCUCAUGGCCCUUACGUCCAGGGCUACACACGUCCUACAAUGGCCAGGACAACGGGAUGCAAGAGCGCGAGCUGGAGCAGAUCCCUUAAACCUGGUCUCAGUUCAGAUUGCAGUCUGCAACUCGACUGCAUGAAGUUGGAAUCGCUAGUAAUCGCGGAUCAGCACGCCGCGGUGAAUACGUUCCCGGGCCUUGUACACACCGCCCGU